This 301-nucleotide ribosomal RNA is filed under the name uncultured bacterium. RNAcentral's name for it is "partial 16S ribosomal RNA". It matches the Rfam family "Bacterial small subunit ribosomal RNA", at positions 509 to 809 of the family's 1533-position model. The record is from RNAcentral.
CAGUAGCCACGGUAAUACGAGGGGGGCAAGCGUUGUUCGGAAUUAUUGGGCGUAAAGGGCGCGUAGGCGGUUUGGCAAGUUUGGUGUGAAAUCUUCGGGCUCAACUCGAAGUCUGCACCGAAAACUGCCGGGCUUGAGUAUGGGAGAGGUGAGUGGAAUUUCCGGUGUAGCGGUGAAAUGCGUAGAUAUCGGAAGGAACACCUGUGGCGAAAGCGGCUCACUGGACCAUUACUGACGCUGAGGCGCGAAAGCUAGGGGAGCAAACAGGAUUAGAUACCCCUGUAGUCCCUGUCUCUUAUAA